CUCCAGACUCCUACGGGAGGCAGCAGUGGGGAAUAUUGCACAAUGGGGGAAACCCUGAUGCAGCGACGCCGCGUGAAGGAAGAAGUAUUUCGGUAUGUAAACUUCUAUCAGCAGGGAAGAAAAUGACGGUACCUGACUAAGAAGCCCCGGCUAACUACGUGCCAGCAGCCGCGGUAAUACGUAGGGGGCAAGCGUUAUCCGGAUUUACUGGGUGUAAAGGGAGCGUAGGCGGUUUAGCAAGUCAGAAGUGAAAGCCCGGGGCUCAACUCCGGGACUGCUCUGGAAACUGUGCAGCUAGAGUGCAGGAGAGGCAGGCGGAAUUCCUAGUGUAGCGGUGAAAUGCGUAGAUAUUAGGAGGAACACCGGUGGCGAAGGCGGCCUGCUGGACUGUAACUGACGUUGAGGCUCGAAAGCGUGGGGAGCAAACAGGAUUAGAUACCCUCGUA
Molecule: ribosomal RNA, 446 nt
Filed under: uncultured bacterium
Lineage: Bacteria
Description: bacterial SSU rRNA
Rfam family: Bacterial small subunit ribosomal RNA
Source: RNAcentral